Molecule: ribosomal RNA, 321 nt
Filed under: uncultured Bacteroidota bacterium
Lineage: Bacteria; Pseudomonadati; Bacteroidota
Description: bacterial SSU rRNA
Rfam family: Bacterial small subunit ribosomal RNA
Source: RNAcentral
GAUGAACGCUAGCGGGAGGCUUAACACAUGCAAGUCGAGGGGUAAAAUUCAGCAAUGGAUUGAGACCGGCGGACGGGUGCGUAACGCGUAUGCAACAUACCUUGUGCAGGGGGAUAGCCCGUGGAAACGCGGAUUAAUAUUCCAUAGAUCAGUAACAUCGCAUGGUGUAACUGGUAAAGUUAAGGCGGCACAAGAUUGGCAUGCGUCUGAUUAGCUGGUUGGUAGGGUAACGGCCUACCAAGGCGACGAUCAGUAGGGGUUCUGAGAGGAUUAACCCCCACACUGGUACUGAGACACGGACCAGACACCUACGGGUGGCUG